GCCGUAGCCCAGCUGGUUAGCACGCUCGGUAGCAACCGUGAGGUCUAGGGAUCAAAUCCCGCAGGCG
Molecule: transfer RNA, 67 nt
Filed under: Hordeum vulgare
Lineage: Eukaryota; Viridiplantae; Streptophyta; Magnoliopsida; Poales; Poaceae
Description: tRNA-OTHER
Source: RNAcentral